Molecule: non-coding RNA, 1028 nt
Filed under: Oryza sativa Indica Group (long-grained rice)
Lineage: Eukaryota; Viridiplantae; Streptophyta; Magnoliopsida; Poales; Poaceae
Description: Bacterial small subunit ribosomal RNA
Rfam family: Bacterial small subunit ribosomal RNA
Source: Rfam by way of RNAcentral
UUAUUCAUCUUAAUUAGGUUUAAAGGGUACCUAGAGAGGAUUUCUAGCCUCAAAAGGGAACAGACUUACUAGAGUUUUAUGGGAGAGGAAAAUAUUAGAACCAUUGGAGUAGAGAUAAAAUGUUUUGAUACUAAUGGGACGGAUAGCGGCGAAGGCAAACCUCUAUGUAAUAACUGACGUUGAGGGACGAAGGCUUGGGGAGCGAAUAGGAUUAGAUACCCUAGUAGUCCAAGCAGAGAAUUAUGAAUGUUAUAGACUAAAAUAUUUGGUGUAUAAAUGAAAGUGUAAGCAUUCCACCUCAAGAGUAAUGCGGCAACGCAGGAACUGAAAUCAUUAGACCGUUUCUGAAACCAGUAGUGAAGUAUGUUAUUUAAUUCGAUGACCCUCGAAAAACCUUACCACAAUUUGAAUGAUAUUUUUUUAUUUAUGAACCUAUGUUACCCCCACAUACAACAUAAAUUAAGUAAGGUAACUUACUUUAAAUAUUACAAGUGUUGCACGGCUGUCUUAAGUUAAUGUCGUGAGACUUUGGUUAGAUCCAUUAAAUUAACGUAAACCCUUGCUUUAUUUUACAUAUAUAGAGCAGUUCACCCAAUUUAUUGGAUAUGAUAAUAGGGAUUAAGACAAGUCAUCAUGACCUUAAUAUUGUGGGCUAUAGACGUGCCACAUUUAUUUGUACAAAAGGAGGCGAAAGUGCGAACUUUAGCUAAUCCUUAAAACAGAAUAAAAAAUGGAUUGUAGUCUGAAACUCGACUGCAUAAAUAAGGAAUUACUAGUAAUCGUGAGUCACCACAUCACGGUGAAUUUAAUCUCAGAUAGGUACUAACCACUCGUCAGGCGCUGAAAGGAGUAUGCGCAAUAAGUUUGGCUAUUUAAUAAUUCUUCCUAUUAAUAAUUAGUUAAUAUUUAGACUUUUUUUUAAAUUCUAUAAGAUACUUUAUUGGAUAGUUUUCGUAUGCGUGACUUUGAUUGGUGUUAAGUCGAAAUAUGGUUCGUGUAGUGGAAAUUGCACGGGAUUAAUAAAAAUU